GCUGAACUGCAAGCCUCUGCCCCACCGUCCCCAGCUCAGAGCAAAGCAGAAACUCGAAGCAGAUGGUGCUCUCCAAAAGCAGUGCCCCAAAAGAUGCUGGGGCAGGCACCGUGGGCAAGGCUGUCUCCUUCUGGCCCUGCCGUCCUGCUGCUGGCACUCUGUGAGUUGGGGCAUUGCUGGGUGUGGUGGCUGAGGGCUGGAGGGCUGCUCCUGGGGGCAGGACAGGACAGUGGUUGGCACAAUGGAGGAUGGGGACAGCGUGUGUGGGUCAGGUGUGCAGCACCGAGGGGCAGAGUUUGUUUGUGGAAGGCAGGAUGGGGAUGGCUUCCUCGAAGUAUAAAUCACAUCUGAGCAAGGGGCACACUUCUCUAGCACCAUAGAUUCUUCUGGAGUGUUGCUCUGAGUCUCUAGGACUGCUGAGUUUUUUAAGGAGAUAUGGGAUUUAGCUGGAACAAAUAAAUCCACACAAAAUGGGAUUGGGAUUGGCAUUGUUCAAGAGGUUAAUGAAGAUAUACAGCAUGAGAACACGCAGGUGUGAUGAUGCCUACUUAGCAGUGAGGAUUUGGUCAAGGGGGAUAUGGGAGUAGGGAAAUCUGGAUGAACCUGGACUCUGCCCUCUCAGCAAAUUCCUCUCUGCCACCAGGUACAGCUGCCAGCAUGACCUCCCAGGACAUCUGCAGCUCCCCAGGUACUCGUGAGUCCUUCCCUCCCAGACCCAGGGCACUUGGAAGCCCAACCACUGUGAGCUCUGCCCUAUGGCAGCCCUUCACUGCUGUGUCUCCUGCAGGGGAUCUCCCAGCUCCUGCUCUCCAAAUGAACUCAAGUUCUGCUCAGCCAGGUACCAGAGUUGUGCUCCAGUGUAUUCUCCCUGUGGUGUCACCCGUAAUACGAAUCAUCAUCUGCAAGGAUGGGAAGGAGGUGUACAGCCAGAAAGCCCAUCAAGGGCAGCUGAGCUACUCCGUGGUCCUGAACAUCACGUCAAGAAGCGCAGGAAUAUAUACCUGUGGGUACCAGCAGAGGAAUGAGAUGAAACAGAGGAGGAGCUCUGCCCUCAGUGCUUGCCAAAUCCUGGAUGUCCCUGGUGCAGCUGCUGGCGUGACCACGCAGGACUUCUGCAGCUCCCCAGGCAAUGUGGUGAGUUCCCCAGCAAGUCCAUCACCCCCAGGCAGGAGCUGUGCCAGCUGCAGAGACACGUCCCUCUCCCUGCUUCUCCCCAUCACACCCCGCUGCCCUCACACACUCUGUCCCACAGCUCCACAUGCCCGGAUCCCGCACACACUCCCCACAGGCACAGUGCUGGCAGUAGCAGCCAUCGGCCUCGUCCUCCUGUCUGCAGGCAGCUGGUUUGCCAUCAGGAAAGGUGAGGGAGUGGGGGAAGGUGGGGGGAAGGCUGAGGACAUGGGGGUCCUGCUGCAGUGCUGGUGCAGUGGGAAAGGUGGUGGGGGGAACCUGGGGGUGCACAGCUGGGCCAGACGGUGCCUGGGGGUGAUGGCUGUGGGCAGCCCAGCUGGGGAGGCUGCUGAGGGAGCUGGGGAGCUUCAGCCUUCGUCCCCCAGCCCCAAGAUUGGAGCCAGGGCUGGGCAGCACAUUGGCCUGUGCACCU
RNAcentral lists this long non-coding RNA (1603 nucleotides) under Anas platyrhynchos platyrhynchos (common mallard). RNAcentral describes it as "lncRNA (ENSAPLG00000024926.1)". The record is from RNAcentral. Lineage: Eukaryota; Metazoa; Chordata; Aves; Anseriformes; Anatidae.